Molecule: ribosomal RNA, 253 nt
Filed under: uncultured bacterium
Lineage: Bacteria
Description: partial 16S ribosomal RNA
Rfam family: Bacterial small subunit ribosomal RNA
Source: RNAcentral
UACGUAGGUGGCAAGCGUUGUCCGGAAUUAUUGGGCGUAAAGCGCGCGCAGGUGGUUCCUUAAGUCUGAUGUGAAAGCCCACGGCUCAACCGUGGAGGGUCAUUGGAAACUGGGGAACUUGAGUGCAGAAGAGGAAAGUGGAAUUCCAAGUGUAGCGGUGAAAUGCGUAGGGAUUUGGAGGAACACCAGUGGCGAAGGCGGCUCUCUGGGACGGUACUGACGCUGAGACGCGAAAGCGUGGGGAGCGAACAGG